AGAAGAGGACAGUGGAACUCCAUGUGUAGCGGUGAAAUGCGUAGAUAUAUGGAAGAACACCAGUGGCGAAGGCGGCUGUCUGGUCUGUAACUGACGCUGAGGCUCGAAAGUAUGGGUAGCAAACAGGAUUAGAUACCCUGGUAGUCCAUACCGUAAACGAUGAAUGCUAAGUGUUGGAGGGUUUCCGCCCUUCAGUGCUGCAGCUAACGCAUUAAGCAUUCCGCCUGGGGAGUACGGCCGCAAGGCUGAAACUCAAAGGAAUUGACGGGGGCCCGCACAAGCGGUGGAGCAUGUGGUUUAAUUCGAAGCUACGCGAAGAACCUUACCAGGUCUUGACAUACUAUGCAAAUCUAAGAGAUUAGACGUUCCCUUCGGGGACAUGGAUACAGGUGGUGCAUGGUUGUCGUCAGCUCGUGUCGUGAGAUGUUGGGUUAAGUCCCGCAACGAGCGCAACCCUUAUUAUCAGUUGCCAGCAUUAAGUUGGGCACUCUGGUGAGACUGCCGGUGACAAACCGGAGGAAGGUGGGGAUGACGUCAAAUCAUCAUGCCCCUUAUGACCUGGGCUACACACGUGCUACAAUGGAUGGUACAACGAGUUGCGAACUCGCGAGAGUAAGCUAAUCUCUUAAAGCCAUUCUCAGUUCGGAUUGUAGGCUGCAACUCGCCUACAUGAAGUCGGAAUCGCUAGUAAUCGCGGAUCAGCAUGCCGCGGUGAAUACGUUCCCGGGCCUUGUACACACCGCCCGUCACACCAUGAGAGUUUGUAACACCCAAAGUCGGUGGGGUAACCUUUAGGAACCAGCCGCCUA
RNAcentral lists this ribosomal RNA (809 nucleotides) under Lactiplantibacillus pentosus. RNAcentral describes it as "bacterial SSU rRNA". It matches the Rfam family "Bacterial small subunit ribosomal RNA", at positions 650 to 1459 of the family's 1533-position model. The record is from RNAcentral. Lineage: Bacteria; Bacillati; Bacillota; Bacilli; Lactobacillales; Lactobacillaceae.